RNAcentral lists this long non-coding RNA (1309 nucleotides) under Piliocolobus tephrosceles (Ugandan red Colobus). RNAcentral's name for it is "lncRNA (ENSPTEG00000018774.1)". The record is from RNAcentral. Lineage: Eukaryota; Metazoa; Chordata; Mammalia; Primates; Cercopithecidae.
AAAAAAUUGUAUUACAGAAUAAGUAAAAUCGCUUUUAGUAUAUCAGACGAAUAUAUAAUAGUUGGUGAUGGAAUAACAAAUAAAUCCAAUUCAACAAAGGAAUUUAUAAAUGCAGUUACAACAAAAACAAAUUUAUCAAUAUUUUGUAUAAAAACAUGUAAAGAAAUUAAAAAUUUUGAAAUAAAAAAAUGUACUAGUUAUGUUAGUUUUAUUGAACCUAAUCCAUAUUAUAAAGAUAUUGUUUUAUUUGGUUGUUUUAAAAAAUAUAUUUUUUUAAUAAAUAUAGAAAAAAAAAAAAUGAUAAAAAAAUAUUCUUAUGAUAAUGAAUUAAAAAAUUUAAGUGCUGAUUGGAAUAAAACUGGUUCUACAUUUAUUGUUUCUCAUAAUUUUGGAUAUUUUUCUAUUUUUUCAAUGAAUAACGAUGCAUGUUAUACAUUAACAUUAACAGAACAAAUUACUUCUUUACAACUUAAAAAAUUUAGCAACUAUACCAUAACAAAUGAAAAUAGCUUAAGUGAUGAACAAACAGAGAUAUUGCAAGAUGUUUAUAUGUUGAAUACAAAUGGAGAAAAUAAUAGGUUUAUAAAUUAUCUUAUGCGAAAUAACUAUGUCGCAAUCAAUAAAUUUUCACAUAAUAGGUAUGGAACUAAUGGAUUUGGUUUUUUUGUUGAACGUGUUUUUAAUGAAAGAGAUAAAUCGAGUAAUGACUACACAGAUCGUAGUUCCAUUGAAAGUAAUAGUACCCUAAGUAGUAGUAGUAAUAGUAAUAACAGUAGUAAUAGUAGUAGUAGUAGUAAUAGUAGUAAUAGUAGUAAUAGUAGUAAUAGUAGUAAUAGUAGUAAUAGUAGUAAUAGUAGUAAUAGUAGUAAUAGUAGUACUAGUAGUAGUAGAAACAGCAACGGAAACAGUUACAGAAACAGAAACAGAAACAGAAACAGUAACAGAAACAGUAAUAGAAACAGAAACAAAAACAGAAACAAAAACAGAAACAAAAACAGAAACAAAAACAAAAACAAUAACAACAGUAGCAGCAGUAGUAGUAGUAGUAGUAGUAGCAAUAGCAGUAGUAUUGACUGUAUCAAAAUAAGUGAUACUGAUGAUAACUUAUAUAAUAAUAACUCAUUCAAUCGGCCGUUAAACAAUAAUAAUAGAAUUAAAAAAAAGUCUAUUAUUGCAAAAAAUAAGAAAAUAAAUAGAUUAAAACGCUAUUUUAGUUUAAAAUGUAAAGAAAAAAAAUGAUAAAUCAGGUAAAAGUGAUCAAUUAGAUAAAGAUAAAAAAAAAAAAAUAAUAAAUUAGAAAAUAUAAACA